This 491-nucleotide ribosomal RNA is filed under the name uncultured bacterium. Its description in RNAcentral is "bacterial SSU rRNA". It matches the Rfam family "Bacterial small subunit ribosomal RNA", at positions 28 to 500 of the family's 1533-position model. The record is from RNAcentral.
GACGAACGCUGGCGGCGUGCCUAACACAUGCAAGUCAAGGAGAAUUCCCGACUUGUCGGGAUAGUAAACUGGCGAACGGGUGAGUAACACGUAGGUAAUCUACCCUCGGGAUCGGGAUAACCUCGCGAAAGUGGGGAUAAUACCGAAUAAAGUCUCGGUAUAAUUUGUCGAGAUGAAAGAUGGGGAUCUUCGGACCUAUUACCUGAGGAUGAGCCUGCGCCUGAUUAGCUAGUUGGUAGGGUAAAUGCCUACCAAGGCAACGAUCAGUAGCUGGUCUGAGAGGAUGAUCAGCCACAUUGGGACUGAGAUACGGCCCAGACUCCUACGGGAGGCAGCAGUGAGGAAUUUGCGCAAUGGGCGAAAGCCUGACGCAGCAACGCCGCGUGACUGAUUAAGCUCUGAGGAGUGUAAAAGUCUGUCGUAGAGGAAGAAACUAUCCGAUAAGAAUAUUGUCGGAUACUGACGGUACUCUAUGAGAAAGCUCCGGCUAA